CUAACAAUGUACUUGUACCAGAAGUAUCGUAAUACCAUUAAUCAGCAUACUUAUAUUGGAUGCAUCAUUAGAGUUUGAAGAUAAUGAAGAUGCCAUUAUUGAGAAAAGACGUCAUAGGAGGAAGAAUUCUGAGCAGAAACAUCAAUAUGUCAUGUCCUUAUCUUUCAUUUCGGUUUGAUACUAUAUGUACAUUCACAUUAAAAGUUAGUGUUAUUUCAAUUA
Amphimedon queenslandica is the source of this 222-nucleotide long non-coding RNA. RefSeq lists it as uncharacterized. The transcript has 3 exons. The record is from RefSeq and is a predicted model, not a curated record. Lineage: Eukaryota; Metazoa; Porifera; Demospongiae; Haplosclerida; Niphatidae.